GUUAAACUGAUGGUGAUUUGUGGUGGGCUUCUGGAUAGCUUGAAGGUGGGAGUUGGUCAGCAGAAAGACCAACCAUAUGAUUACAGUGUCACACUUUGUGCCAGCCUGAAUCAGCAGAGGGAAGGACUCGAGACUGAACUCACCCAAUGGGCAGGGAUUCAGUUGACUUUGUCAGUGUAGUGAAACCCCAGUAAAUACCCUGGGUACUGUCAUUGGAGCUUCCUGGUUGGUGAGUACAUUGAUGUGAUAUUCCUACAUUCCACUAGGAGUCUGCACAGAAGCUCUGCAUUCCCCACACAGCCACCCUGUUUCUCUCCCCUUGUGGCUGUUCUUCAUCUGUAAUUAGGAGGUGUUAGCCGCAAAGAUCACUUUGGAAAGUCAGUUGCUUUUCAAAAUGCAUUUAAGUCUAAAAGCUCAAGUAAUGAGAUCAGAUCCUCAAAUCCCUAUGUCUGGAGUCAAGUUGCAGGACUCCUAAGGGAAUUUCUUCUUGGUGGGUGUUGGAUACCAAGUCUCUGGCAUGAGAUCAAAGAGAACUUGAGAAGACUUUGGCUGUUCUCCAGAAUGUAAAUAGAAGGUAGAACAAGUCCCAUUGUGGCAACGUGAAAUACUCCCAUGGGUGAGAGCUGCAGCACUGUCUCUUUGAAAUAUGGCUAAGGAUGGAUUUGGAGAACAUUUCUUCUGCUAUCACUGAUAAAUGUUUGCUCUCAAUGUAGAAGGAAAUGCAGAUAAGAAAGUCUCAUGGUUUUGAAGUACUGGGAAUCUGACUGACCUACCUGAAA
This is a long non-coding RNA of Talpa occidentalis (Iberian mole), 779 nucleotides long. RefSeq lists it as uncharacterized. The transcript has 3 exons. Lineage: Eukaryota; Metazoa; Chordata; Mammalia; Eulipotyphla; Talpidae. The record is from RefSeq and is a predicted model, not a curated record.